UCUAUUAAAGAAUAAAUCUACAUGGCGAAUAUUGAAUAGAAGAAUAAUUUGCUUAAUAAUAACAUCUAGAAUUAUGAAGUUGAAGUUGCUUAAUAAUAAGGUAAAUGCUGUAGAAGUGGAAUGUGAAGCCAAAACUCUGAAAUAACAGGAAUAACUCAGUGUUUCAGGCUAACAAGGACUAUUAUUUUACAAACUUUUAAUUUUUGAUACAUAGCUGCUGCAUCUUCUCUAUUUGUGUAAAUGCCCACGCAAGAACUAAAAGACGCGCCUCGACUGCAACAAUUUACUCGCAUGCUUAAUGCAUUGCGUCAAUUGUUAUUAAUUUGUGAGAGUGUCAACUGCACUACAAAAGAUAAAGACAACAUCAUAGACAAAUACAUGCAUAUACAUAUAAAUGAUGUAGUUGGAAUCAUAUGCAACAUUUGUCUGUAAUCGCACGAGUCUCAUGUCAAAUUCUUGACACAUACCCAGUCGAGCCGGAGGUCAACUGCCUCUGAUAUAAAAUUGUGAAUACUAAAUUAUGCAGUCGAUAUCAAUUACCAUAGUCGAAGGGCACCUGAACUUCUGCAGCUUUGACUAUUUCAAUCCUAUUUAGUUGCUCAUUUCAAUAUAUCGACUUAUUCUAUUUGAUACAGACAAAGUUUUGGCCAAGCUAAACUUUUGCCACGUGUCGCAUAUAUCUGAAGUGAAGUGGUGCUAGUAUCCACCCGGAACGUGUGUAUAUUAUCCAGCUCACAUAUGGACAUGACGAAAUAUUACGGAAGGACCGAAGAAGACAAGUAAAUCCCUACACUAUACAACAGAGCUUAAAGAUGCAUGUGUAAAAUAAAAUAAAAUAUAUUCAAUUUAAUAUAAAAAUACAAUUAAAAUAUAAUUUAAGCAAAAGGC
This is a long non-coding RNA of Drosophila mojavensis, 888 nucleotides long. RefSeq lists it as uncharacterized. The transcript has 3 exons. NCBI's taxonomy places the organism in Eukaryota, Metazoa, Arthropoda, Insecta, Diptera, Drosophilidae. The record is from RefSeq and is a predicted model, not a curated record.